AGAGUUUGAUCCUGGCUCAGGAUGAACGCUGGCGGUAUGCUUAACACAUGCAAGUCGAACGAAGUGCUUCGGCACUGAGUGGCGGACGGGUGAGUAACACGUGAGAAUCUGGCUUCAGGAUGGGGACAACAGCGGGAAACUGCUGCUAAUACCCAAUGUGCCGAGAGGUGAAAAGAUUAAUCGCCUGAAGAUGAGCUCGCGACUGAUUAGCUAGUUGGUAGAGUAAGAGCCUACCAAGGCGAUGAUCAGUAGCUGGUCUGAGAGGAUGACCAGCCACACUGGGACUGAGACACGGCCCAGACUCCUACGGGAGGCAGCAGUGGGGAAUUUUCCGCAAUGGGGGCAACCCUGACGGAGCAAUACCGCGUGGGGGAGGAAGGCCCUUGGGUUGUAAACCCCUUUUGUCAGGGAAGAACACAAUGACGUACCUGACGAAUCAG
RNAcentral lists this ribosomal RNA (440 nucleotides) under uncultured cyanobacterium. RNAcentral's name for it is "bacterial SSU rRNA". It matches the Rfam family "Bacterial small subunit ribosomal RNA", at positions 8 to 490 of the family's 1533-position model. The record is from RNAcentral. Lineage: Bacteria; Bacillati; Cyanobacteriota.